UACAGAGGUGGCAAGCGUUGUUCGGAAUUACUGGGCGUAAAGGGCGCGUAGGCGGCCUUCUAAGUCAGACGUGAAAUCCCCCGGCUUAACCUGGGAACUGCGUCUGAUACUGGGAGGCUUGAGUAUGGGAGAGGGAUGUAGAAUUCCAGGUGUAGCGGUGAAAUGCGUAGAUAUCUGGAGGAAUACCAGUGGCGAAGGCGACUUUCUGGGCUGUAACUGACGCUGAGGCGCGAAAGCGUGGGGAGCAAACAGG
Molecule: ribosomal RNA, 253 nt
Filed under: uncultured bacterium
Lineage: Bacteria
Description: partial 16S ribosomal RNA
Rfam family: Bacterial small subunit ribosomal RNA
Source: RNAcentral